GACGUAGGGAGCGAGCGUUGUCCGGAUUCAUUGGGCGUAAAGAGCGCGUAGGCGGCCGUGCAAGUCGGUUGUGAAAUCCCGGGGCUCAACCCCGGGACUGCGUCCGAUACUGCACGGCUCGAGGCAGGUAGGGGAGAGUGGAAUUCCCGGUGUAGCGGUGAAAUGCGCAGAUAUCGAGAGGAACACCGGUGGCGAAGGCGGCCUUCUGGACAGUGACUGACGCUGAGACGCGAAAGCGUGGGGAGCAAACAGG
Molecule: ribosomal RNA, 253 nt
Filed under: uncultured bacterium
Lineage: Bacteria
Description: partial 16S ribosomal RNA
Rfam family: Bacterial small subunit ribosomal RNA
Source: RNAcentral